RNAcentral lists this long non-coding RNA (20322 nucleotides) under Nicotiana benthamiana. Its description in RNAcentral is "long non-coding RNA (NBEN_LNC035447)". The record is from RNAcentral. Lineage: Eukaryota; Viridiplantae; Streptophyta; Magnoliopsida; Solanales; Solanaceae.
ACGAUCAGCAACGUAAAAGUCCACCUACAUUCAAAUUUUUGGAAGAUCAUUAAAUUUCAGGUUAAAAACACAAAUACGGUUCAUAGAUAUACACACGUAAAGAACUUACUCGGUGUAAUAGACAAAGAUGGAGUAGUUGUAAAGAAGGACAUCCCAGGUUAAAAAUAUGCAGAGAACGACUAAAGAUACAAAACGUGUAGCCAAAAGGCAUACAGGAUGAAUCCCACGCCAAUAACUACUUGACCAACUCCCAAUCUCCACUGCUGAUGGCGACGACGACUGAUUGCAGCCCUGCUGGGGCAAAAGGAUCUCAUGACAACCAACAAUGUUGUGGUCGUCAAUAUGAUCACCAUUAAGUGUUUGGUAACGCUGUUGCUUAAUUUUGCAGCAGCAAAGCACGUAAAGGGCGCCAGACAUAGCGAUGCCUACUAUGCCGAAACAAAUAAAAUCAUACCACUGUAUCAAAGUUCCUGCCAUAGCUAGUUGCAGAUCGAUACGCUAGCCUAGCUACCCUGGGAAUUUUGGGGUGAGCUCUGCAGCCACCUAAUUAUAUCUUUAGCCAUUGUUAAAUUUAACAUAUUUUAAGUUGCUAAUAAGGAAGACUAUCUGGUGGUACAGCAGCAUGUUGUUCUUGUUUCAUGUAUACGACUGGUAGCUUUGACUGUUUGACAGCAGAACUUUAGCUUGCUUUAAUUAUCUUUUCUUUAAUAGACAUCAGUAUUCCUUUUCUUGUUACUUUUUUUCCAGACUAAAAGCUAGUAGUAUAAAUUGAUUUAUUACUCUUUAAUCUUUUUAUGGUAUGUUAUGAUGCUAUGACGUUGAACAAAGUCGUAAAGCCCAAGAGAAAGAGGAAUCGGUGCCGCAAUAGUAUUUGUGUGCGCACCUACGACAUUGACGAGUACAAGGGAAAGAUAAGUAAGAAUCAAGAAGAAAAACUAAGGUCUCGUUGAAAGAAAAAGAGAAAGGGAAAGUUAAUUAAUAACGAUGUGUAUGUUGAACGGAGCACAACUUAAAUGCUUCAAUGGUGAAUUUACUAAUUGAAAAUUAGUUGUUAUAUACAGCUAAUAAAAUGAGAUACAUGUUCCAUACAACAAAGAGCACCAAACUGAGCCCAUUCUCUUUGCCAACCAAUUAUAUGUACAGAAAACCCACCCAAAAACAGAUGGAAGAAAGAAAAAACAUCCACAAAGGUUGGCUUUUAUCCCUGCAGAAUCAUCUAAAACUCAACGGCUUCCACUGUUGUCCAAAAAAAACAUCCACAAAGGUUGGCUUAAAGAAAAAACAUCCACAAAGGUUGGCUUCUAUCCCUUGCAUAAUCCUCUAAACUCAAUGGCUUCCACUGUUGUCCAACCAACUCUGUAAGCUGCACAAGGCUUCUGCAGAGAAGCUGCAGCAUCUUAAUCGCCUCUGUCGUGGCUGUGAUGGUUCAGAAAGAUCAAUAGAAGUAAAGCAAACAAUUACCACAGUAAGAUUGUCGAAAGUAUUGAGCCGCAGGGCCUCCAUGACAAGAUCCUUGGCACACUGUUCAGGAUCAUCAUGCCGUCUCAGACCACGACGUACAAGAUUAACCGCUUGUUGACUUGACAUAACAUCCCAGAUCCCAUCACAACCAAUUAUAAGGAAUUCAUCAUCCUCGCUCAAGAAAAUCUGUCUGAAUUCAGGCUCUGCUAUCAGAGGAGAGGCAGAGCCAUGAGGCAGUUUCAUGUCCCAGUCCCCUAAGGCCCUAGUCACUGAUAGGACACCAUUGAGAUAGCCAUCAUCAAUAAAUCCGCCCAACUCUUCGACACGCCUUCUCUCCGAUGCAUAAUUCGGUCUAUGGUCUUGAGACAUAUUAAUCGCGUCUCCCUUAUGGCAAAGAACUGCUCGGCAGUCUCCCACAUUUGCCACCAUUAGAAGCCUAGAAGAGGACGGAGUAGCAGUUUAAUUAACAAGAAUACAGUAAAAAAACGCAGGUUCCAAAAUUUUCAUAUAACAGAAUCAAAUUCUAUGGUCCUCCCUAGCUCCCUGCAAUUUCUCAAGUUCUAUAGUCAUCUAUGGUUCGAUACUUGGCAAAGAAAUUCUGCGGAACUCAAAAAUAAGGACAGGUUGAUCUCUCAUCCAUCAAACAGCAUCCUCGACUAAGGAAUGAAUAACUUAUAUUACCCGCUUAAAGAACUGAACACCGUAUGAUGCGGCUAGAGUGACAGGAAAUAAGAUUGAGAACAUAAAAGGGCUACAAGUGAGGCCCAGAGGCAAUCAUGAACAUGACCAUUUUUGUACAAAAGGAAAAGCAUUUACGUGCGAAUACAUAAUAUUAAAAAUUUACCUUCCCAAUACCAGAGCUGUCAAUGCAGUAGUUCCAGAGGAACUACACACAUUACACUCAUCAGCCAAAGCAAGGUCAGCAAGAAGAAACCCUUCUCUUAGAGAGCUUUCCACCUCUAUUAAAAAUGCCUCAUCAACUUCUGAUGCCUGAGGGAAAUUGGCCUCCUCAAAAAGGAAUCUGAGAACAUGUUUUCUCACAUAAGCUGCUGCCUCAGGUCCUCCAUGACCAUCAAAUACCUACAAGAUAGUGAACACGAAUCAGUUAGACAAGCUCCCCAAUGACCAAUGUAUAAUAUUCCAGAAGUGAAAAUUACCCCAUAGAAGGCACAAGGCUGAGAAAACCUGACUAGGGAGCCUAGAUGUUCAGAAAGAUCAUCUAUCCUUAUAUGCUCAUCUUCCAUGAACCUCCGUGGGCCAAUAUCAGCAAAACUACCUGAACGAAUGCUAGGAACAAACUGCAAAGUUGUAGUAUCUGGGGAUUUAAAAUCCUGGAAGAAAGAAUUGACAGACACAUCAUCUCAAAAACGACAAAAGAAGGUUUAACACCGAGCACUAAUUAUAAUGUACAUAUUUAGCACAAAUAUUGUUGAACAUCGAGAAAGGUACAUCAGCUGAAUACACUUAACUUUAAAGGAAGCCCCAAAAGUGGAGGGAUUCCUCUCUUCCACUCAAAAAGAAUAAAAUAUUAACUGGUCAUAACAGGCUUCACUCUGCACAUGAUGUGGGCAAAUUGAUUGUUCGUCGAAGAGGGAUGUGGCUGAACAGUAUAGCAACACAAUUAACCAGAACAUGGACCUCUAGGCUAACACUAGUGCGGAUUCUUGUCAUUACGAAAAUCAAGCUUGGUCCUAAAAUACUUCAAUCUUGCAAUGUCUCUGAUAUGUUUCAAAAUAUAUUAACCUUGCGAAGAGCUCAAAAUGACAUGGCAUGGUUCAUAUGCAAAGGUAAAUCUGGAACAGAAAGAUGAACACCAUAGGAGAACAGACCUAAUCCAUCUUCCCUACCCUGCAGGUCAUCUGUCCCCCCUCCACGCCCCACCCACCCCCAAAAGAAACACUUACAUUACCUUUUGGUUCCAAAGAGACAUGUAUCAGUAACUCUGUACUCCUGUGCCCAAUUGCAAUAUACACAGUACUAAAUAAAUUUGGUUUUGUGGCCUCAACUGUUCCAGAAAUAUCAAAACCACAACAUACUUAAAUGCUAUGACAAUCAUUGUUGUAAAUAUCCUACACGUUUCCCCUCCCUCCACCGAAAACAUUUCAAGAAGAAAGGUGUCAGAAAUGAGGAAAAAAGUUGUGAAUGCCUAGAGAAUGCUGAUAAAAAAUGAGAAGAAACAUGUCCAUGCUUGAGAAUGCCAAGGCAAUCUUUUUCUAGUAGACCAAUCGACAGCCCAAGAUUUAACGUUUUGAGUGGACUUCUAUCAUCACAGUGUUGUGAAAAUGCAACCUUAAAAAGCCACUGAUCGAACUAAAAGAACGAGAACAAUUUCAAAGAAACAAAGAGAAAAACUGAUACCCAUGCGAUUGAGCUUUACAAACAUAUCUAAGCACAUUUUACUGUUGCAGACAGAAGGUAGCUCCACUUUAUCGAAGAGUCAAUCUACUUCUUGCGUAAUUAAUAUGUUCAUUAACACUUAGAUACCUUACGAACUGCAUUGAAGUGCAUCUUUCCCUGUUAUGGAGAAGAGGCUCAAUAAGUGACGUUUACAUAAGACUAACACUAUGGCUUUGCCUAAUUAAGCACACAAAAUUAACACUUAAAGGAGCUUCACAGCAACGUUUCAGCGCAGAUUUCCCUAUUGUAGAAGAAAGACCCAGUAGACUCCUCUAUACACGAGCCAAGCAACUGCUUUUCCUAAUUAGAAUACAAGGAGCUUUACAAGCAACAUUCUAAAGCAUAAAUUUUCUCUUUGAACACCAUGAAACAUUCUUGCUUUGUGUAGUUGCCAUCCUCCAAAUUCCACUGGAAGAGGCACCUUAGAUAUGAUAUUAACUAUACUUAUCAAUAGCAUGUGAUAAUACCAACAGGAAAACUUGGGCAAUCAUUGUAGCUUCAAUAAAUAACCUGAACAUAACAAUAACCACUAUGCACAAAAAUUUGAGCCUUUUUCUAGUGUUCUCCUGCAGACAUACGCUAGACCUUUUUUAAGAUUGUGACCGAGAAAUCCAUUUGGGGCCAAACCUUAUGACCAACUGCCACCUUCAACUUUCGGGGCAUAUGGGUUCGUCCUUCUUCCCUUCUCCACUUAAAUACAAAGCUAAUUUCGCAUGCCGUAGGGCUCGAAUAUAUGACCUAAGACAAAACCUUUGCCGACAUACUCGGGACAUGUUCUCAUGUAAUGACUCUUAUGAUAGUAUGAAAGCUCCUAAGUUAGUCAUAAAUGACUUAACACUUAAAGCCAAGACCUGAAUAGGUCAGAUGUUCAACACUUCACAUAUAACUCCUUCCUAAAAUCUAAAGAUACCCAACAACUAAGCUUAAAUAAGUUGAAACUAGACAAACAUGUUUUCCUUUUAUUGCUUCCCUUUAUAGUUCCGAAACAUUCUAUAAGCAUUUAUGAGGUAAUAAUUCGAAGUCUAGGGUGUUAAAUAUUAUUCUUUAAAAAUCAAAUCUUCAAUUAAAUAUAAAGCACGGGACUUCACACUGAAAAACAUGCUCUUUUCGCUAAUUCUUCAAAGAUCACAAGGUAGGUAUCCCAAAAAACGUAAAAAAACACAAUUAAAAAGCAAAAGGGGAAAGUAAAGAAGAAUGUUAAAAGAGAAAAACGAACCACAUCAGAACAGCAGGGGAUAUCUAAGACCGUGGUGAUGGUCUGUUGUACUGGUAAAAUAACCUCAGCUUCAGCUCCCAUCUUUAAAAGUCCACAACUUUUGCGAUCAUAACACAAAAAUAAACAACUGAAUUGGGGCUUCUUCUCGAAACAAAAAAAGAGAAAAUUUUGACCAAAUGAAAGUAAGAAUUCGAGGAGUUUUGGGAGUUUGUGGAAGUUUUUAUUGGUGUGUGUGGAAACGGCAAAUACCAAACUUGGCACAAGCACAAGUGGGGUUGAACUUGGAUAUAUAAGAAGCGGUGACCGGCGGUGGGUAACCGGCGGUAAAAUGUAAAAAGUCGUAGAGUAGGUGGACACGUGUAUGUAAUGUGGGUACGUCCACGCUCAGUAUUUUGGGUUAGUUCGUUGAGCAAAACGCACACGAAAAUGUAAUGGCAUGACCCCUUGAGGAAAGCGAAUCAAUAAGGAAAGGAAACUUCGGUUGCUGGACACGUGACUGUUUCUUCUACCACUUGUGUGACUUCUUCAAACCGUGUGUCUUCGCUUCUCUUUUAAGGGGAAAAAGAUGUACUUCCUUCGUUAUAGAAUCUUUUCAUAGUACGAAAGUUAAAUUACUAAAUUUUUGUUUAAAUUUGCAUAUAAUUUUUUCUACAGUUUGUUUGGAUGAUUGUUAUAUAUAUUUUUUAUAAUAUAUCGUGUUAUAGUAUAAUAUAUUGUAUUGCAUUUGUUUGACCCUAAAUUUAGACCUGAAUUUAAACUAUUAAAUAAAUAAUUUUCACCAAUACUAAUAUCCAAGUGAUGUACUGAUCAAUAUUCGGGAUGAUAGUACAAGUAUAAUCAAUAUAGCAAUAAAUGGUGACACUAAUGUUACGUUCAAUGAUCCAAAAAUGAAGGGGACUGCAAUAAAUAAUAAUCAAUGACAUUUACGUAAAUAAAAGCAUAUGAGUCAUCCGGAAAGGAUGAGAUUCUUUCGUAUUCUUUCUGAUAAUGAUUAAUAAUUGAUGAACUUUGAAUGUUUUGAUUCUUCUUGGAUCGUGGGGAAAAAGUUAGACAAAAAUUUCAAGAAAAAAGUACAUUUUAUAUGUGUGUGAUAAAGCGAGAUUAUUGAAAAAAUGUUAAUGUAUUCUCUUAUAAAUGAGUAUUCAAUGUGUCCUAUAACUAAGUCUCUUUCUCUUUAUAAGGGAACAUGUGCCAAAAUUCCUAAUAGUAUAACCACAAAGAAUAUCUACUAGAAUAUUCUCUUUAGAAUCUUAUCCUAAAACUAGCCGUUAUUGCACUGUUCAAGAUGAGUGCUCUUCCUCGACAGGGUUAUUCAAAAGUGAAACAUAACCGUAAACGAACAGAAACGAUGACUUAUUGGCUUAUUGAUAUCGGGUUACUUUGUAACUUUGUGAGCCUAGUCUGAUAGGGUUUUGUCUCAGGUAACUAGGGGCAACAUGUUUUGCGCAUAUUUCAGGUUAGGGACUGUGGCUAUUAGUGGUGAGCGGGACGUGCCUGUGAAAACAUAAGGAGCAAUCCUGGCAAGGGUCAACGAGGGGCGGCAGAAGUUGGACAUAAACGUGCUAGGUGGACGCAACAUCAUUGUAUAUACCAAGACAAUUCCUAGGUUCCACUUGUGGGAGUUGGUACCUCCUGUUUUACUUUUUCCCUUUAUUGUGUUAGUUAAAAUGUUGCAAUCUUAGUUCCUAUUAGUUUAUUCACAGUAUUAGUACCCGUAUAAUUGCAGCCUGUCUUUGUCUAGCGUGGUAUGUUGCCUUGUAUGUGUUAGUGAUUUUCCCUUAGUUUGGCAUAGGUGUAGUGGUUGUGGUUUGGGAUAGUCGAGUAAGGUCAUAUCUUCAGGGGGAGCAGGGGUGGUGCAGGGGUUAGGGGGUGGGUCAGGAGGCAAGGGAGGUAAAGGAAACAGGGGUGUCUAUAGGUUAAGAAUCGGGUCAUGUAACAUAGGUACAUUUACGAGUAAGUCUAUAGAGUUUGCGAAGAUUCUCCAAAAGAAGAGGGUCAAUAUAGCGUGUGUCCAGGAGACUAGGUGGAUAGGAUCGAGGGCGAAGGAUGUAGACAGGUAUAAACUUUGGUACUUAGGAGUCUAGAGAGGUAAGAAUGGAGUAGGUUUCUUGGUGGAUAGGAAACUUAGAGAGUUUGUGGUUGCGAUUAAAUGAGUGAAUGCUAGAUUGAUGUUUAUUAAGUUGGUGGUUGGAGAUUACACCAUGAACGUCAUUAGCGCCUAUAUGCUGCAUAGGGGCCUAGAUGAGGAGGUUAAACGACGCUUCUGGGAGGGGUUAGAUGAGAUUGUGUGCUAGGUUCCGCCUGCUUAGAAGCUAUUCAUAUGAGGGGAUUUCAAAGGUCAUAUUCGGGUGACCACAGGUGGCUAUGGCGAGAUGUAUGGAGGCUUUGGUUUUGGGGAGAGGAACGGAGAAGAUACCUUGCUGUUGGACUUCGCUAAGACUUUUGGGUUGGUGAUUGCAAACUCUAGCUUUCUGAAGAGGAAAGAGCAUUUGGUUACUUCUAAAAAAAGCGGUAGCAAAGACACAGAUUGACUAUCUCCUCCUUAGGAGGUAUGACAGCGGUUGUGCAAGGACUACAAGGUGAUUUUGAGUGAGAUACUCGCAACGCAUCAUAGACUUUUGGUGCCAGACAUUGGUGUUAGGAUAAAGAGGAGGAAAAGGUCUGCUUGGGGUAAACCAAGAAUUAGGUGGGGGACCUUGAAUAAGGAUAAAGCCCAAGUGUUGGAGUUCCGUCUAUCGGCUAUAGGAGCUUGGAGGAGCAGUGGGGAUGUGAACACUAUGUGGUCAGCAAAAACAAACUGAUAAGACAAUCUGCGAGAGAGGUGUUAGGGGUCUCGACCGGUGUCUCUGGUGGGAACAAAUGAGACUGGUGGUGGAAUGAAGUGGUCCAAGGUAAAGCGGAAGCAAACAAGGCGGCAAACCUGAAGUUAGUGGGGAGCAUAGGUGAGGGGGAUAGGAGAGCAUGCAUGGAAAGAUAUAAGGUAGCUAGGAAGGAAGCUAAACUAUCGGUCAUGGAGGCUAAGACUGUGGCUUAUAGUUCUAUGUACGAGGAACUGGGGGAAAAAGGCGGGGAGACGAAGUUAUUCCGGAUAUCGAAGUUGAGAGAGAUGACGACUCAAGAUUUGGACCAAGAGAAAUGCAUUCAGGACGAAGGUAGUAGAAUACUGGUGGAAGAUGUCUAGAAUAAGAUGAGAUGUCAGACUUACUAUCAUAAACUUCUGAAUAAAAAAGGGGAUUGUGAUAUUAUGCUAGGCGAAUUUGAGCAUUCUAAUAGUUAUUGUGACUUUGGGACUGCAAGCGUAUUGAGGUCGAGGAGUUUGUGGGGGCUAUACAUAAAAUGAGUAGGGGCAAAGCGACCGGGCCAGACAAGAUUCCGGUAGAAUUUUGGAAGUGUGUAGGGAGAGCAGGUGUGGAGUAGUUGACUUGGUUGUUUAAAGUUAUUUUUAAGGCGAAUAGGAUGCCGGAUAAGUGGAGGUGGAGUACGGUGGUUCCAUUGUAUCAGCACAAAGGUGAUAUCUAGAGUUUUUACAACUAUAGGGGUAUCAAAUUACUAAGUCAUACCUUGAAAGUAUGGGAGAAGGUGGUUGAAGCGAGGGUCAAGAUGACAGCGUCUAUAUCCGACAACCAGUUUGGGUUCAUGCCAGGUUGUUCCACCACAGAAUAUGUACACCUUGUUAAGAGGUUGGUGGAACUGUACAGAGAGAGAAAGAAGGAUCUGCACAUGGUGCUUAUUGACCUAGAGAAAGCAUAUGACAAGGUUCCUAAAGAAGUUCUCUGGAGCUUCUUGGAGACAAAAGGUGUGUCGGUUCCUUAUAUUAUGGUAAUUAAGUACAUGUCUGAUGCGGCUAAGACUCAUGUUAGGAUAGUAGGAGGAAACUUUGACCAUUUUAUUGAAAUGGGGUUACACCAAGGCUCUGAUCUUAGUCCGUUCUUAUUUGCCCUGGUGAUGGAUGUGAUAACAAACCAUACCAAGGGGAGGUGACAUGGUACAUGCUAUUUGCUGAUGACAUAGUUCUGAAUUAUGAGUCGCGAGCCGGAGUUAACAAAAGAUUAGAAGUUUGGAGACAGACUCUUAAGUCUAAAGGUUUCAAGUUAAGUAGAACGAAGAUAGAAUACCUCGAGUGUAAGUUCAGCGCCUCGCCAGAGAAAGUGGACGUGGAUGUGAGGCUUGAGUCACAGGUUAUCCCAAGUAAAGGCAACUUCAAGUACCUUUGUUCGGUUAUCCAAGGGGAUGAGAGAUUGGAGAGGAUGUCACAAACCGUAUUGGGUAGGAUGGAUGAAAUGAAGGUUAGCAUCUGGAGUCUUGUGUGACAAAAGAGUGCUAACGAUAGUUAAAGGUAAGUUCUAUAAAGCGAUGGUUAGACCAGCCAUGAUUUAUGGGGCUGAGUGUUGGCCUGUUAAGAACUCACAUAUCCAAAAGAUAAAAGUAGCAGAAAUGAGGAUUUUGAGGUGGAUAUGCGGGCACACUAGGAUGGAUAAGAUUAGGAAUGCUUAUAUUUGGGAGAAGGUGUACGUGGCUCCAAUUGAUGAUAAGAUGCGGGAAGCGAGGCUUAGAUGGUUCGAGCAGGUACAGAAGAGACACCCAGAUGCUCCAGUGAAGAGGUGUGAGUGGCUGGUUGUGGAAAGCAUGAGAAGAGGUAGAGGGAGGCCUAAGAAGUAUUGGGGAGAGGUAAUCAGACAAGAUAUGGUGAUGCUUCAAAUUUUCGAGAACAUAGUAUUACUCUUGUAGGCUAGGAUGUAGUUGAGUCUUGCAUUACUUUGUACCUUUGUGAGCCUAGUCCAAUAGGGUUUUGUCUAAGAUAGCUCGGGCAAUAUCAUGUCUUACUAUUUUCUAUUUUCGACGCAGGAUCCAUUUACUAGCCAUCAUUUUUGCUUUGCAUUUUAUGUUCCUAUUUUUCCUAUGAUAUCCGUGAUGAAUCUAAUAUUCUCUCCUUUUGUCUUUUUAUUAUCUAUAGCCGAGGGUCUUUCGGAAACAACCUCUCUAUCCUUUCGGGGUAGGGUUAAGGUCGGCAUACAGACUACCCUUCCCAGAUCCCACUUGUAAAAUUUUACUAGGUUGUUGUUGUUUGUUGUUUACCGGGGUAAUGGAUAGUUAACGAAUUAAGAUUUUAUAAUUAAGACAUAAUGGUUUGGCGGCAUAUUACUCAAUCUUCUUAUCGGAUAAACCGUUAACCUGUUAAGAAUUUUUAUAUUUACACCUUGACCUUUAUUGAAUUUUCAAAGAUUUGUUCCAGAGUAAUAGAUCCCACUGUAUACUAUGCACAUGUUGUAUAUGAUAACAACAUAUACAUUAGAAUAGAAAAAGUGCAACAAGAUGCUAUGAUAAAAGAAAAGCCUAUGGGAAGUGAUCAUAAUCCUUUUCUUCUCUGCUCUAUUCUUGUUAUUUGGCUUGAUAAUUAAGGUUGCUGCUUUAUUUAGGUGUAGUGAUUGAGAUAGUCUUAUAUCCUACAUGUACAUAAUAUAUUAUGGGAAUUAUUGUCAUGUGAAGAGAAAGUGCCUCGAAUAUACACUAGAACAACAUAUGAUCGAGUUGUGAAGCUAGAGCAGCAAGAUGCUAUGGUAAAAAAAAUUCUAUUUAGUUUAGCAAAUAAACUGCCCGAUAAUUGAUAAUAUGAUACCAAUCCACCAUUUGUCAUAUUGGAUGGUUAGUAGAUUAUUAAAUUUAGUAUUCGAUAACCGAUAAGCUAAACCAUUUAACGUAAUUAUCCAUCCGAUCUUCCCGAUAUGCACCCCUAGUCCUCGACCUUGAUCUAUGAUGACUCCUCGAACCCGCCCUUAAUAUCUUAUCAGACCACUUCGACCUUGAGCAUAACUUUUGCCGAUGUCAUACUGGUGACAUGUGGCUUCUCUUUGAAGGCCCUCUUAAUGCUGAUAUGGUUUAACAAUAACUAAGAUAAUCUUUAGCACAUAUAGUUAGUCUCUCUACUUAUUGAGGUCGUCUUCAUAGGCAAGUUCGAUGAGCGGAUAAUGUCGUUCAUGGUCGAGCUUAUUGAACAGAUACCACAGGUCAUAGUCGUUGUAGCAAGUAGUUGACAUGGCUCUUUAUGGGCCGCAUAAUUCAAAUCCCUUAAAUUUCUCGGAUGAUUUGUUAGAGCUAUCUGAUCCAAGAGAGGAGGUGACAUCAUGAAGUCAUGCAUCAUGAUGAUGCAUAUUCACGACGCAUUACGUUAAUUUGUGUGUGACCUUUGAUGGGAUCUACCGUUUCAAUUCCAGUGCUAAUCAUGAUGACCCGUUCUGGGUUUGGUGUCCAUUAUGACAAACCUUUUCGGAUUGUUGCCUCAAUCUCUAGAAAUAGGAUAAUCAAACCUGAAUUUGAAAUUUUUACUCUCCCAAACUUUUGAGAUUUCAAACUCUCUCUCUAAAACCCUAUCCCCUAUAUCUUUCCUCUCAUCCCUGUUUCUUUCUUUAUUUCCUUUCUUAUAAACAUGUAAAAGUUAUCAUCUAAUGCUGGUGAAGGAAGUCGCACCGCUCCCUUGGUGGUUGUGUUUCCUACUAAUGGGUAGAAUAUUGAUGCCAUUGUUGAGGAUGUGGAUUUUCUGUCGGUGUAGGAGAUACUUCCCCGUAACCCCGAAGCCAGGUCUAAUCUUCACCGAUCAUCGGACACGAUGCCUGGCAUUUCCUAUCGACGAUGGCAUCCUAACAAUUGGCAGACUUCAAAGCCAAGUUCGGCCGCCCCAACCACAUCGAACGGAUCCCUGCUGAAGGGGAUGAAGUACAUGUUCACAGCCCAGGGUACUGCGCUCUAUACACUUACCCAUUCCUUAUUGGUUACUCAUUUCCUCCUUCUCCAUUAGUGGAAAAGUUUUUCCACCACUACGGUGUUUGUCCCACUGAGUUCGCUCCUUACAUCUACAAAGUCAUCAAGAUGUUGCCCGAAUUCUCCGAGCUUGCCGGGGUUGAAGUGACGGUUUGGUUUUUGGUGCAUCUAUUUGCCCCUGGCUUUUAUAGGGGUGAUGUUGAACCUUCGUCACUAUGGAUGUAAGUUCUUGUUGGUAAAGAUGGACGAGACGUCCAGACAUCAAUUCUAGCUUGAUUUCUUUUAUUUUAGGAAUGAGGACGUCUUGGCUAACGUCGACGGCUUCCCUAAGGCUUGGGACUACACACAUGAAUUCCAGUUUUUCUCUUUUUUCCUUUCACUCCUCUUUGCUUAUAUUGAGCUUGUUAAAUGAUUUUUCUUUCCUUGCAGACAACAAUGAACCUCCUUAUCUAGUCGUGUACACUGCCAACUGGGUUGAACAGAUUUUCCCUCAUACCGUAGGGAUUCAUGACUAGCCGAGCUUCUUUAAGAAGUUAAGAUCGGCUAUCCCUUUAGCAUGUAAAUUCUCUUUCCUGGGCGUGAUCGUUGCACCUUUUUGUUGUAUGUAGGAUCACUCUGCUAACUUCUAUGUCUCUUUCUUUCCUAGUUAGGGGGUUUUCUUGAAGGAGUUGGGCGUCUGUGCCCUCUUUUCGGAGGGGGAGUACUGUGUCUUAAAUUUCUUCCCCCGUCGUGGCUGCAGGGCCUACUGUACCUACCCCCUCCUGGUUGUUGCGGCUUGUGGUUCCACCUCUAUCUUGUCUAUCGCUCCCUCUCCUCAUCUCUUUUCACUAGUUGAUGAGGAUGAUGACAUCUUUGUCACUCUCUGAACCCGGGGGCGAGACCGGUACCUGGUGCCUCCCUUAACCUAGUGUACCAACUUGCGACUGAGGGAAUUUGAACAUACAAUGUCAUACAUUUUCCAUGGCACCACAUUGUAAGAUAAUUUGUGAAACAAAAGAUAAAACUUAAUAGAAGCUAGGUCUGACUGAAUAUCACUAUAAACCUGGGUCGACAAGGCUAUCAUAAUUAGUACAAUUGACAAACAAACAAAUAUAAUAUAUAUAUACACACACACACACACACACACACAUACACACACAAGACCUACAAACCCAACAUACUGCACUAACUAACUGGAUAUGCCUACAAGCCUCUAUUGAUGGAUGUAUUGCGAUUGGAAUAGGUCCCAUACAUACCCAUAAUAUAUAUACACAUAUACACAAUAUGCACUCAAACCCUAGAACUUGCAACUCCAAAGAACGUGGAGCUUACCGAUCAAGCUGAACAUGAACAACACCUAUGAAGGAGGUCUAUGAGGCUGUCUAUCUAAACCUACAUGCAUGAAAAACAACAUCCCCAAGAAUGAGCGUCAGUAUGAAAUAAUGUACCGAGUAUGUAAGGCAGUAGAAUAACUGAAAGCUGAAACUAAACUGAUAAUAUAAUAACUAAAAGUAAGUUACCUGCUAAUACUAACUCAACUCUCUAAAUAUAGUAAGUAAAAUAGUUGUUCGGCCCUAUAAGGCUCGAAACAUAUAACUGGUCGGCUGUAGUAAGCUCGUUCAUAGGCGCUCAACCAAACUAAGCUCGAUAUCUCAGCCGUUCUGGGCUUGCUCAUAGGGGGUCGACCACAGUAGACUCGGUAUAUAAUGUACCAUUUGAUCAAAGGUUGCCCAGUAGGGGCCUGCCCACUGAUUAUAGCUCAGUAGUGGUGCAAAUACUGUAAUACUAUAUAUAUAUAUAUAUAUAUAUAUAUAUAUAUAUAUAUAUAUAUACCCUAUCAAACACUUGUAGUUACGAGAUCAUGUCAAAAUGAAGGAAAGUUUUAGCCUUAACAUACCUUUUCACAAUCUUUCCAACAACCACGUUGAACUUGUAUUAUCGCACCUUAAUCUACAUCAACGAUAAUAAUACUAUCAUUAAGUUAUAAAAGAUACCACUAUCGCAUAACAAUUGAUAGACUUAUUUUAUAUUAAAACGGACAACAUCUCCCCUAUGAUCUUCACUUCCUCCAAAUUCAAUAUAACACAAGAAAACAACUAUAACAACAUAUAUACAUUAUUUUCCAACCUUAUAUAAACAACAAGAUACUACAAAACAUCCCAACACACCCCAAUCUCUUCAUAUACAAAACGACCACAAUAGUAGUGCCAAACAGUACAAAAAUAUUAUGACGAAUGACCAGCCCACCACCCUUCAUUUAUAUGGUGUUUAUCCACACAAUUUCUCCUCCAAAACUCCCUAAAACAGUAGCAAAACAUGCAAUCAAACAACAACAAAAAAAAACAACCCUCAAAAUAGUUCACUACAAGUUGAAUAACUCGAACUCACGACUUCUGAUCACCAUCCUAUGAGUUCUUAUAACUAUAGAAUGACUUCCCGUACAUUUCCAGCAGAUAACAAUGGAUGAAAAAAAGGAUUUAAACUUACCUUAUUUGUUGAAUAACUCAGCUCCUAUCUUGGUUCUUCAAACUCUAGGUUUUUCCUUAAACUAGAACUUGAAAAGUAGAGAAAUUCAAUUAUGGUUUGUGUGGAACUUUUUGGGAGGAGUUUUUCAGGGGUUAGAUCUGGUAAUUAUUCCCUGUUAUCAGUGUAAUAUAUGAAGGAAAUAGUCCAAUUCAGCCUUAGUACACUCAAGAUCUCUAAGAAAUAUUAGAACAUAGGAGAAUUUUCAAAGGAAGCUUUUGUGAAUACUUAAUUGUUUUGCUUGGUGAGUUACCAAUGAAUAGCCCUCUUUAUAUACUAGUAUCCUAGGGGAUAGUACGCAAAAAUUAAUUGUUACAUAAGUUUUUAAUAUUUACAAGUAAGUCCCUUCUCUAGAAUUUUCUGCAUAGCUAGAAUCUUCUAUGGACUUUCCUAGAAAUUUCAGAAAAUUGUAAGGUCUUCCAUGAGAAAUCUUCAUAUUUCCUCUAGGUUCUUCCAACAUAUGUUAAUCUAUUUCAUAUGGCAAAAAUAUAUGUUAACUGGCACCUAAGUGGCAUGAUGAUGUGGUAGGCCAUGACAUCCUUAGACUUAAGCUAAGCGCACGUGCGUCACUUGAAAAUUUCCUUAUGAUCUUGAUGUGCCAAGUCAUCUUACUACACUAAAGAUCCGCUAAGGGAUUAUUUAAACACAAGAGAAUUGCUAGAGGAAGAUUUUGUCUUGGAGAGAACUUGAUUGUUUUGCUUUAUGAGUUACAAAUGAAUAUCCCACAUUAUAUAAUAGUCUCCUAGGGUCUAGUGAGUAAUUAAUAAUUAUUACACAAGGCCCUUAUUAUUUACAACAAAUUCCCUUAUCUAUAAUAUUUUACAUAGCUAGUCUUCGAAGGACUUUCCUAGCAAUUCCAUAAGGUUUUCUUCCAUGAGAAACCUCUGUAUUUCUCUAGAACAUUCCUACAUGUGCAAGUCUAUUUCAUAUGUAAGCUUCUUAUAUGUCAGAAUAUAUGCCAUGUAUCACCUAUGUGUCAUGAUGAUGUGGCGGGCCAUGACACUCUCCCACACCUAAUUUUGUGCCUCCCUCGGGAUAAAUCAUUGACACGAAUAUGCGCACCUCGUAUGUCAUCGAAGAUAUUUUCUUAUUAACUAUGAUGAUCUAUGGAGCGGUUCUCCUUCCAUGUGACAAGGUACUUGUCACCUUUCUUCUUGCACUGUCUGUAAUUUGGACGACUACCAAUGAUGUCCUCGAUCCUUCGCUCAUCGGAUGCCUCUUCUUGCUCUUGGCCUGAACCUCUCCAUGACUCAACCAAGUCUAGUAGCAUCUUAAGCAUUCGGUCAAUGCUUUCAUUCCCUAAUAGGCUUCCUUCCAUUGUCCCAACCUUACUACCAAACUUAACCCCUCUAUUUGGUGUGUCGUCUAAUUCUGAUAGUGUGCCAUCACUUUGUAUAUUUCCAUCCUCUUCAACUAUGUCCAUCCAUUUUUUCUUGCUUUUACUAUGGUCCAUUUAUAUAGUGCAAAGAUACUCUUUGGAAUCUCCUACUUUUGGAUUAGAUUCCAAGCGCAUCCCCCUAAUGUAGGCGGUCCCUUCUGUGUCACCUUUGUGUUCCUGAGCAAGGUUUCCGAUCUUUACAACAAGCUUCUCCAAGUUUAGACAUUCACUUGAUCGAUGUGUUCAUUUACAGAUGUAGCAACCGCCCUUAGGCAAAUACUCACUAUCAUUUUUCGACCCCUUGCCAUUUCUCUUGGACCCCUGUCUAUUAUGGGAUGGCCCCAUGCGAUAUACCUUGUAUACCUCCGGUAUGCUUUUCCCCUUGUCCUAGUCAUGAUUUCCCUCACCCCUCUAAGCAUUGCCUUAUUUAGACUUGGCAGGCUCAAUCUUGUUUAAUGGGCGACUCGGCUACCGCUAUGGCCUCGUUCAAUUGGCUACUUGAUGUAUUCUUAACUCCUGUUUUUUCCGAUUUUGCAACCCAUCUAUGCAUUACAAGAAGGAAUCUUCCUCGAACAGUGAUGAUAUUUGCACCAAUAAGGUAGUGAACUCAUUCACAUACUCUCAAAUUAUGGCUAUCUGUCGAAGCUCCCUUAGCUUUGGCCUAACCUCGUACACCACAUUCAUCGAAUAUCAUUGCUCUUCAACUCCUUUUUGACUGCCCUCAUGCCUCAAUCUUGCAUAACCCUUUUUUCCAUGUUGGCAAACUUCUGAUGCCACCCCAUCAUGACAACCUCGGUCAAGUACAUUGAGGUGUUGCACAGCUUAACAACUUCGUCAUCCUCCUUGACUACCUCAAAGUACUUGUCCAUCCUCCAAAGUAAGUCGUCCACCUUGCAUGCGUCUCGAGCACUAUCAUACGCCUUUUUCUUAGGGACCUUCACAGUUAUCACUUUUGCAAGCACCAUGCCCUUGUAAUCCCAAACAUGGUUCCCUACAUAGCUUCCCUCCCGCAAUCUCUUGUAUUCUUUCUAACAUUCUUUUAGUCAUAACUUUUGCUAUGAUACCACGUUGUCACAUCUUUAGACUUAAAUAAAGUGCACAUGCGACACUUGAAAAAUUGCUCAAGAUCUUGCUAUGCCAAGUCAGUCUUACUACACUAAAGAUCGUUAAGGGAAUAUUAGAACACAACAGAAUUCUUAGAGGAAGAUUUUGUAUUAAAGAGAACUUGAUUGUUUUGCUAUAUGAGUUACAAAUGAAUAUCCCCUUUAUAUACUAAUCUCUAGUAAGUAAAUAAUAAUUCAUACACAAAGCCCUUAUUAUUUACAAGUAAAUACCUUCUCUAGGAUGUUUAUAUAGCUAGAAUCUUCCAAGGACUUUUCUAGCAAUUUCCAUAGGGUUCUAAGGUGUUCCAUGAGAAUUCUCUGUACUUCUCUAGAUCCUUCCUAUAUGUGCUAGUCUAUUGAAUAUGUAAGCUUCCCAUAUGUCAUAAAUAUAUGCCAAUUAUCACCUACAUGGCAUGAUAAUGUGGUGGGCCAUGACAUACAACAACAAUAAUAACAUACCCAAUAUUAUUCUACACCAUGGGAUCUAGGAAGGGUAGUGUGUAUGCAGACCUUACCCCUACCUUAUGAGGAUAGGGAGGUUGUUUCUAAUAGACCCUCAGCUCAAGAAAGCAUAAGCACCAUAGUAAUAAAAAUAUAGACAAGAAGGUACAAUACCAAAAAGCCAUAUAAAAGCAGAAUAAAACAAGAAGAUAGUAAGAUAAUCAACAAUGAAAGAAAACAACAGAAACCUACUACCAACAGAAAGCGAGACUGCAUGCCAAUACUACUGUUAUGAACACUCUAGACCACCUACUCUACUACCCUAAUCCUUGACCUCUAUACCUUCCUAUCAAGGGCAUGUCAUUAGUCAGCUGAAGUUGUGCCAUGUUAUGCCUAAUCACCUCUCUCACUUCUUCUUUGGCCUACCUCUACCUCUUUGUAGGCCUUCCAAUGUCAGCCUCUCAUACCUCCUCACCAGGGCGUUUGUGCUCAGGUUCAUCACAUAGCCAAACUACCUAAGCCAAUAACCUCAUUUCUGAUCCUAUCUAACAUAGUGUUUAUGCACAUCCAUCUCAGCAUCCUCAUCUAUGCUACCUUUAUCUUCUGGACACGAGCAAUCUUGACUGGCCAACACUCAGCCCCAUACAAUAUUGUUGGUCUAACCACUAUUUUGUAGAACUUACCCUUAAGUUAUGGCGGAAACUUCUUAUCAUACAGAACAUCGGAAGUGAGUCUCCAUUUUAUCCAUCCCGCCCCCAUACAAUGUGUGAAAUAUUCAUCAAUCUCCCCAUCCCCUCUAAUUAAUAGACAAGGUACUUACAACUCCCUCUACUAGGGAUGACCCACGAGUCCAACCUCAUCUCCCCUUCCCCUUCUUGAGUCUCGCUAAUGAACUUACACUCCAAGUAUACUAUCUUAUUCUUGCUCAACUUGAAACCUUUAGAUUCCAAGGUCUACCUCCAUACUUCUAAUUGCGCAUUCACACGGUCUCGCAUCUCGUCAAUCAAUACAACAUCUGCAAAUAGCAUGAACCACAGAACCUCCCCUUAGACAUGGCACAUCAGUAUGUCUAUCACUAGAGCAAACAUAAAGGGCUGAGUUUCAACCCCUAAUACAACCCAAUCAUAACUAAAAAAUGAUCUGAAUCCCCACCCGCCAUCCUCACUUGGUUCUUUGCUCCAUCAUACAUGUCCUUAGUCAACCUAAUGUAGGCAAUAGGUACACCUAUAGCCUCCAAACAUCUCCACAAAACCUCUCUUGAAACUUUAUCGUAUGCCUUUUCUACAUCUAUGGACACCACAUGCAAGUCCUUGUUUCUCUCCCUAUACUGCUCCAUCAUUCUCCUAAUAAGGUGGCUGGAUUUUGUAGUCAAACCCCCCGGCAUAAAGCUUGUUGGAACACACUAUUAAGUCGUUAAAACUAAAAGUUAUGUUCAUCUUUGUAGGUUUUUGAUAAAUGACAAACCGACGUGGAUGGAACAUUGACAUAUGCCAAAUCGUCGUGAGUUUUUAUUGAAACGCACUUUCAUUUUCAUUAAACUAAGUUGUGUUCACUCUUGUAGGUUUGAUGAANNNNNNNNNNNNNNNNNNNNNNNNNNNNNNNNNNNNNNNNNNNNNNNNNNNNNNNNNNNNNNNNNNNNNNNNNNNNNNNNNNNNNNNNNNNNNNNNNNNNNNNNNNNNNNNNNNNNNNNNNNNNNNNNNNNNNNNNNNNNNNNNNNNNNNNNNNNNNNNNNNNNNNNNNNNNNNNNNNNNNNNNNNNNNNNNNNNNNNNNNNNNNNNNNNNNNNNNNNNNNNNNNNNNNNNNNNNNNNNNNNNNNNNNNNNNNNNNNNNNNNNNNNNNNNNNNNNNNNNNNNNNNNNNNNNNNNNNNNNNNNNNNNNNNNNNNNNNNNNNNNNNNNNNNNNNNNNNNNNNNNNNNNNNNNNNNNNNNNNNNNNNNNNNNNNNNNNNNNNNNNNNNNNNNNNNNNNNNNNNNNNNNNNNNNNNNNNNNNNNNNNNNNNNNNNNNNNNNNNNNNNNNNNNNNNNNNNNNNNNNNNNNNNNNNNNNNNNNNNNNNNNNNNNNNNNNNNNNNNNNNNNNNNNNNNNNNNNNNNNNNNNNNNNNNNNNNNNNNNNNNNNNNNNNNNNNNNNNNNNNNNNNNNNNNNNNNNNNNNNNNNNNNNNNNNNNNNNNNNNNNNNNNNNNNNNNNNNNNNNNNNNNNNNNNNNNNNNNNNNNNNNNNNNNNNNNNNNAGAUUCAAGUCUUGGCUUCUCUCUAAAAAUCAUUUUACCAAAACAUGCAUAUCAUAAACAUUUUUGAUAUACUUCAAACAAAAUGAUUUUUAACGUUUGGGCUUACGAACAAGCGGAGUGCUUACGGCCGUGGUAGCUGCGAGCCUCCUGGGUCUUGCUACAACAAGGCAAGUUUAGUUGGCGGACCACUUUUUGCCGGGGGAGGAAUCAUUUUUGUAGUAAAAAAAAGCUUAUGCACCUAGCUCGCUGGAAGCUAAGAGUCUUAUAGCCCAAAAACGGGAAUAGAGGUUUUAGUAGUUCCUUACUUAAUACACUAAUCUAUUUAUAGUCAAGCAAGCCUUUCACCUGGCUAACACAGAAAAAAGCACCAGCUGGGCCUCUCUCUUUGUUUCGAUGAAAGCCUCAACGCUCGCGUUCUACGGGGAACUUUUUUGACUAUUUACCUUCAUCAAAGCCGGAAGCAAAGGGCGAAAACUCCAAAACUAGUAAAUAAAGGGUGCUUGUGUUGUGGUUUUGAGUUCCUUGGCUUGUGUUCUAAUAGUAACCACAGGAAGAAAGCGGGGAGCAUGGUCCCUAGUCUCGUUUUUGCCGAGCCUGAUUCUCUAUGGCAUGGACGUCUUUGAUUGGAUGGAGACAGAUAUAUAGAAAGUGUGCAGUGAGGGUGCUUGUAAAUCACUAGGUAGCCAUACAACACUCGGCCCAAGCAAUGCCCAAAAGUCCCAUGCCUUUCUUGGUCGGACCAACCCAACCGGCGAUUUCCGACAAGUCUUUCUGAAUUGGAAGAGCAAGAAGCGGAACUAGAAGAAAACUUUCUUUCUCUUUAUGGAUAACCAAUUCAUUU